GAUGAACGCUGGCGGCGUGCCUAAUACAUGCAAGUCGAGCGAACAGACGAGGAGCUUGCUCCUCUGACGUUAGCGGCGGACGGGUGAGUAACACGUGGAUAACCUACCUAUAAGACUGGGAUAACUUCGGGAAACCGGAGCUAAUGCCGGAUAAUAUAUUGAACCGCAUGGUUCAAUAGUGAAAGACGGUUUUGCUGUCACUUAUAGAUGGAUCCGCGCCGCAUUAGCUAGUUGGUAAGGUAACGGCUUACCAAGGCAACGAUGCGUAGCCGACCUGAGAGGGUGAUCGGCCACACUGGAACUGAGACACGGUCCAGGCUCCUACGGGAGGCAGCAGUAGGGAAUCUUCCGCAAUGGGCGAAAGCUUGACGGAGCAACGCCGCGUGAGUGAUGAAGGUCUUCGGAUCGUAAAACUCUGUUAUUAGGGAAGAACAAAUGUGUAAGUAACUAUGCACGUCUUGACGGUACCUAAUCAGAAAGCCACGGCUAACUACGUG
This 497-nucleotide ribosomal RNA is filed under the name uncultured bacterium. RNAcentral describes it as "partial 16S ribosomal RNA". It matches the Rfam family "Bacterial small subunit ribosomal RNA", at positions 28 to 507 of the family's 1533-position model. The record is from RNAcentral.